RNAcentral lists this small RNA (633 nucleotides) under Pongo abelii (Sumatran orangutan). RNAcentral describes it as "processed transcript". Lineage: Eukaryota; Metazoa; Chordata; Mammalia; Primates; Hominidae. The record is from RNAcentral.
GCCGAAAGAGCUUUACACGUCGCAGCUUUCGUCCCAACUUGCAGCUGGCCAACAUGGUCCAGAUAAUUCGCCAGAUGUGCCCCACUCCUUAUCGGGGAAACCGGAGAAAUGAUCAGGGCAUGUGCUUUAAACACCAGGAAGCCCUGAAACUCUUCUGUGAGGUGGACAAAGAGGCCAUCUGUGUGGUGUGCCGAGAAUCCAGGAGCCACAAACAGCACAGCGUGGUGCCUUUGGAGGAGGUGGUUCAGGAGUACCAGAAGAUAGGGUCAACUUCUUCAGUUGAGUUAUCUGAAACUGUUGGGCAGUGACACCAUGCCAAACACUGUUAAAUUCAUGCUAUUAAAAACAGUGGAGUGUUCUGCAAAGCCCGAUUCUCUGCGGCUUUAAGACUGGACAGUAUUGAAAUAUUCACAGGAAUCUUCCAAGCCAUGAAAGCUUAAUAUUAAAUAGCCCUUUUAAUUGCAAAGGAGAAAAAAAUGGAGACACUUGUGAAACCUUGCAUUCUGAGUGCUGCCACAAAUAAAUUAAGGAAUUCCAGAAUUUCUUCAUCUACUUCUGCAGUCUUAACUCUGAAUUUAUGACUGAAUAUAUCAAACUUCAGAUCUUAAAAAACAUCAGCUCGCGGGAGGCUGA